RNAcentral lists this unclassified non-coding RNA (493 nucleotides) under Hevea brasiliensis (rubber tree). The record is from RNAcentral. Lineage: Eukaryota; Viridiplantae; Streptophyta; Magnoliopsida; Malpighiales; Euphorbiaceae.
AAACAAUCAGUUGUUCCACGGCCACAAAGUUUAUCCCCAUUGAUAAGUAAUGAGAAUGGAUCAAACUCCCAGUCAUUAGGAUUAGCGGUGACAACAUCCAUAUGCAUUCCAACGAAAGACAAGAUCUUCCCAGGUUCAGUGCCUGGGUACUCCACAAUAAGAUUGCCUCGGCCAGGGAAAUAACUGACAUGAUUCACAAUCAAGGGACCUCCUCCUGUGGUGGUGCUCAAAGGAAGGAGGGAAUCCUGCACAUGCUUCACCACCCUGUCUUCCUCGGGGAUCAGAUCUGGUGGGUUGUUUUGAACAUGUUUAGACUCUCCGAUGAGCUUUCCCAGAAGGGAAACAAAGGACUCCUUGUUCAGUUCUCCAAGGGUUUCUUCAACCCCAGCCAUUAAGAGAGUGCAAGUUAUCCAAGAUGCUACUUGGUUCUCAGAUCACAGACCAGCGAGGAAGAGAAAAACAUACCCCUAUAUGUAAUAUAGGCAAAUUCAGU